UUAAUGAAAACGAUUACAGGUAAUUCUCCUUAAUAUACUGGAGAAUAAAAGGGAAUCCAUAUCUUAUUUCAAUUGAAAUGAGAUGAGGAGCGGACCCGCCGCUGUAACCGGGAACGAACGUCACGAUGCCACUGUCUUAUUUAAAUAAGACGGGAAGGUGUGAUUAGUAGGACGAUCCGGGAGCCAGAAGACCUGCCUGUAAUUGCUUCACGUA
Planctomycetes bacterium GWA2_39_15 is the source of this 214-nucleotide non-coding RNA. The record is from Rfam. Lineage: Bacteria; Pseudomonadati; Planctomycetota.